RNAcentral lists this ribosomal RNA (503 nucleotides) under uncultured bacterium. Its description in RNAcentral is "partial 16S ribosomal RNA". It matches the Rfam family "Bacterial small subunit ribosomal RNA", at positions 30 to 523 of the family's 1533-position model. The record is from RNAcentral.
AUUGAACGCUGGCGGCAGGCUUAACACAUGCAAGUCGAGCGGGGUGAUGGUGCUUGCACUAUCACUUAGCGGCGGACGGGUGAGUAAUGCUUAGGAAUCUGCCUAUUAGUGGGGGACAACAUCUCGAAAGGGAUGCUAAUACCGCAUACGUCCUACGGGAGAAAGCAGGGGAUCACUUGUGACCUUGCGCUAAUAGAUGAGCCUAAGCCGGAUUAGCUAGGUGGUGGAGUAAAGGCCUACCAAGGCGACGAUCUGUAGCGGGUCUGAGAGGAUGAUCCGCCACACCGGGACUGAGACACUGCCAAGACUCCUACGUGAGGCAGCAGUCGGGAUUGUUGGUCGAUGUGGGGAACCCUGAUCCAGCCAUGCCGCGUGUGUGAAGAAGGCCUUAUGGUUGUAAAGCACUUUAAGCGAGGAGGAGGCUCGUCUGGUUAAUACCCAAGAUGAGUGGACGUUACUCGCAGAAUAAGCACCGGCUAACUCUGUGCCAGCCGCCGCAGUAA